CCUACGGGGGGCUGCAGUGGGGGAUAUUGCACAAUGGGGGAAACCCUGAUGCAGCGACGCCGCGUGGGUGAAGAAGUAUUUCGGUAUGUAAAGCCCUAUCAGCAGGGAAGAAAGAAGACGGUACCUGACUAAGAAGCCCCGGCUAACUACGUGCCAGCAGCCGCGGUAAUACGUAGGGGGCGAGCGUUAUCCGGAUUCACUGGGUGUAAAGGGAGCGUAGACGGCCGUGCAAGCCAGGAGUGAAAGCCCGGGGCCCAACCCCGGGGCUGCUCUUGGAACUGUGCGGCUGGAGUGCGGGAGGGGCAGGCGGAAUUCCUGGUGUAGCGGUGAAAUGCGUAGAUAUCAGGAGGAACACCGGCGGCGAAGGCGGCCUGCUGGACCGCGACUGACGUUGAGGCUCGAAAGCGUGGGGAGCGAACAGGAUUAGAUACCCGAGUAGUC
This 441-nucleotide ribosomal RNA is filed under the name uncultured bacterium. RNAcentral's name for it is "partial 16S ribosomal RNA". It matches the Rfam family "Bacterial small subunit ribosomal RNA", at positions 338 to 795 of the family's 1533-position model. The record is from RNAcentral.